Molecule: ribosomal RNA, 1071 nt
Filed under: uncultured fungus
Lineage: Eukaryota; Fungi
Description: eukaryotic LSU rRNA
Rfam family: Eukaryotic large subunit ribosomal RNA (bases 637-1071)
Source: RNAcentral
UCCGUAGGUGAACCUGCGGAAGGAUCAUUAUUGAAUAAAUCUGAUCAGUUGUAGCUGGCUCUUCGGAGCAUGUGCACAUUGAUCACCUUUAUCUUUCCACCUGUGAACACACUGUAGUCCUGGAUACCUCUCGCCGCAAGGCGGAUGCGUGGUUUGCUGUGCUAGCUCGCAAGAGUCGGUCGGCUUACUACGAAUUUCCAGGUCUAUGAUUUAUACAAACCCCAAACGUAUGUUAUAGAAUGUCAUCAUUGGGCCUUGUGCCUAUAAACCUAUACAACUUUCAGCAACGGAUCUCUUGGCUCUCGCAUCGAUGAAGAACGCAGCGAAUUGCGAUAUGUAAUGUGAAUUGCAGAUUUUCAGUGAAUCAUCGAAUCUUUGAACGCAUCUUGCGCUCCUUGGUAUUCCGAGGAGCAUGCCUGUUUGAGUGUCAUUAAAUUCUCAACUCUCUUUGAUUUCUUCAAAUGUGAGCUUGGAGUUUGGGGGUAUGCUGGCUGCAAAGUCAGCUCCUCUUAAAUGCAUUGGCAAAGGCAUGUGCAUGAAUUGGCCUUUCGGUGUGAUAAUGAUCACCGUGGCUGGAUUGCUAUAAUGCUUGUGCCUUACCUUUUUCCAUUACAUGGAAAAUAUUACUUGACUAUUUGACCUCAAAUCAGGUAGGACUACCCGCUGAACUUAAGCAUAUCAAUAAGCGGAGGAAAAGAAACUAACAAGGAUUCCCCUAGUAACUGCGAGUGAAGCGGGAAAAGCUCAAAUUUUGAAUCUGGCAGUCUCUGGCUGUCCGAGUUGUAAUCUAGAGAAGUACUUUCCGUGCUGGACCGUGUACAAGUCUCCUGGAACGGAGCGUCAUAGAGGGUGAGAAUCCCGUCUCUGACACGGACCCCCAGUGCUCUGUGAUGUGCUCUCAACGAGUCGAGUUGUUUGGGAAUGCAGCUCAAAUUGGGUGGUAAAUUCCAUCUAAAGCUAAAUACAGGCGAGAGACCGAUAGCGAACAAGUACCGUGAGGGAAAGAUGAAAAGAACUUCGGAAAGAGAGUUAAACAGUACGUGAAAUUGCUGAAAGGGAAACGCUUGAAGU